Non-coding RNA from Stegodyphus mimosarum, 73 nucleotides. Lineage: Eukaryota; Metazoa; Arthropoda; Arachnida; Araneae; Eresidae. The record is from Rfam.
GCCUUCGUGGUGUAGUGGUUAACACGCUUUACGCGUAACUGUGAGGUCCGUGGUUCGAUUCCCGACGAAGGCG